GUCGAGCGGUAGAGAGAAGCUUGCUUCUCUUGAGAGCGGCGGACGGGUGAGUAAUGCCUAGGAAUCUGCCUGGUAGUGGGGGAUAACGCUCGGAAACGGACGCUAAUACCGCAUACGUCCUACGGGAGAAAGCAGGGGACCUUCGGGCCUUGCGCUAUCAGAUGAGCCUAGGUCGGAUUAGCUAGUUGGUGAGGUAAUGGCUCACCAAGGCGACGAUCCGUAACUGGUCUGAGAGGAUGAUCAGUCACACUGGAACUGAGACACGGUCCAGACUCCUACGGGAGGCAGCAGUGGGGAAUAUUGGACAAUGGGCGAAAGCCUGAUCCAGCCAUGCCGCGUGUGUGAAGAAGGUCUUCGGAUUGUAAAGCACUUUAAGUUGGGAGGAAGGGCAGUUACCUAAUACGUAUCUGUUUUGACGUUACCGACAGAAUAAGCACCGGCUAACUCUGUGCCAGCAGCCGCGGUAAUACAGAGGGUGCAAGCGUUAAUCGGAAUUACUGGGCGUAAAGCGCGCGUAGGUGGUUUGUUAAGUUGGAUGUGAAAUCCCCGGGCUCAACCUGGGAACUGCAUUCAAAACUGACAAGCUAGAGUAUGGUAGAGGGUGGUGGAAUUUCCUGUGUAGCGGUGAAAUGCGUAGAUAUAGGAAGGAACACCAGUGGCGAAGGCGACCACCUGGACUGAUACUGACACUGAGGUGCG
Molecule: ribosomal RNA, 699 nt
Filed under: Pseudomonas migulae
Lineage: Bacteria; Pseudomonadati; Pseudomonadota; Gammaproteobacteria; Pseudomonadales; Pseudomonadaceae
Description: bacterial SSU rRNA
Rfam family: Bacterial small subunit ribosomal RNA
Source: RNAcentral